Molecule: ribosomal RNA, 331 nt
Filed under: uncultured Roseomonas sp.
Lineage: Bacteria; Pseudomonadati; Pseudomonadota; Alphaproteobacteria; Acetobacterales; Roseomonadaceae
Description: bacterial SSU rRNA
Rfam family: Bacterial small subunit ribosomal RNA
Source: RNAcentral
CGCGUAGGCGGCUCGGCCAGUCAGGCGUGAAAUUCCUGGGCUUAACCUGGGGACUGCGCUUGAUACUGCCAGGCUUGAGGCCGAGAGAGGGUGGUGGAAUUCCCAGUGUAGAGGUGAAAUUCGUAGAUAUUGGGAAGAACACCGGUGGCGAAGGCGACCACCUGGCUCGGUACUGACGCUGAGGCGCGACAGCGUGGGGAGCAAACAGGAUUAGAUACCCUGGUAGUCCACGCCGUAAACGAUGUGUGCUGGAUGUUGGGGUUCCUAGAAUCUCAGUGUCGUAGCUAACGCGGUAAGCACACCGCCUGGGGAGUACGGCCGCAAGGUUGAA